UAUUUCUUGAUAAAUUUGAUGAAGAUGUUCUAACAAUAAAAAUAUUAUUUUUGUGUCAUAGGGUACUAUCGCGGCAAUUAUGAUUUUGAUAAUUGGCAAAAACUUGCGAACCAUUUGUACUUUGAAAGUUGUAUCGAUAUUCAUGUUCUGAAUCGAGCCCAAAUCAUCGAUGACGCGUUUUAUUUUUUCACGCAAGGACAACUCAAUUUCACCAUGUUUUGGGAUAUUACAAGCUUUCUAGUUAAAGACACAAACUAUAUAGCAUGGUACCCUAUGAUUAAAGCUAUUGAAUACAUGACGUGUGUUUGAGCAGUUCAAGAUACUUCAACUAUAAAGAACAAAAUUAAUCAAAUGUUCCAUAAACUUCUGCUAAAUAUAAGAUACGAUGACAAAUUUGAUAAAAGUAAUUUUACUAAAUAUUUAAGAGAAGAAGCGGUAAAAUGGGCAUGUGUUCUCGGUAGUUAUAAAUGUAGACAAACAGCCGCCUUUCGAUUAAAAAAACAUCUAGAAAAUUCCAUACAAGACAAAUUUUUCAAAUGGAGAGAAUGGUUAGACUGUAAAGGUUAAUGACAGCAAACUACACUACUUGGACUAAAAUACUGCUGUGGCUUAUAUCGAAUAUAACAUACGACAAUAUAUAUUCAGAAUACUUAACUUGCUAUACAAAUCCUUGUACUAUUCGAAGUUAUUUAACAGUAACAGUAAAUGGAUUUUAUUCUAGUGUGACAAACAAUCAAACAAUUGCUAAUAUUGUUCUCCUUAUUGUUGCGAAACAUUCAAACAAUGAUGCAGUGCUCAAUUAUAUAUUAAACAGUUUUGAAUUGUUCCAAUUCAACAUAAAAAAGCCAAUUGACCAAAUUGCCAUAUUAAUUGUUAUUAUAACGCACGAACAUGACGUAAAACAAUUAAAAAAGGUAUAUUUUCUUAUAUGCAUAUAAUAUUCUCAUUACUUGACCCUUUCAUGUUGAACUUAUUUAUGUUUAAUUCGUCACAUAUGUGAUGUAUCUGAUCCAAAUGCAUUUAACGCAGCAAUUUAUCAUUUUUUUAUCUCUAAUAAGAGACAAACUUAUAUUUAUUAAUAUCAUCCGUUAUAUUAUCAAAUAAUCUGUUUUAGGUAAGUGAAUUCGUUCAAAAUAAUCUUGCAAGGAUUGGAAAACAACUAAUUGAUGCUGUUCAACAAAAAAUAAAGAAACGAAUAUUGGAAUACAGAAGACGAUCAAGAAACUACGGGCGCCUAUGAGCGCGUACCGUAUGAGAAACAAAUAGACAAACAAUUGAAUCCAUGAGAAUAAUUUUACUUGUUGCUCACAUGCAUUCGUAUAUUUAUUAUUUUUAUA
Molecule: non-coding RNA, 1337 nt
Organism: Linepithema humile (Argentine ant)
Lineage: Eukaryota; Metazoa; Arthropoda; Insecta; Hymenoptera; Formicidae
Source: RefSeq, a predicted model, not a curated record